RNAcentral lists this unclassified non-coding RNA (507 nucleotides) under Hevea brasiliensis (rubber tree). Lineage: Eukaryota; Viridiplantae; Streptophyta; Magnoliopsida; Malpighiales; Euphorbiaceae. The record is from RNAcentral.
CAACAGACAGGGGAAUCCGCCGCGUCAGGCUUCUUGCUUGAUUAGCGUGUGUUAAGUCAAUAUCGGGAAAGCGUCCAGCCCCGGAACUAGACUCGGGGAAGAACCAAUCGGUACAGUAAGAGCUGUAUCAUAUGCUUUCCUAAAUCUGAGGCUGUCACGCGCCAGAGGAGUUCCCGGGUUGAAUAGUGGCUUGAGGACUUUCAGUUUCUUCAGUCGAGAGCUGCUCCUGAAAGAGUGUUUGCCGAAAAGGAGAAUCAGUUAAGAGCAAGAUCAGUAGAUCCCAGACUGAAGUUUCGCUGCAUCGGCCAAAGAAGGAGCCUUAAACGAAGGCUGGCAACCCGCGCAUUGAGGGGAGAGAAAACUUUAAUAUCUGAUACCAGACCGGAAUGCCAGCUAGAGAAGAAAGAGAGUCCCGACCUCCCUUAAUGGAAUUGAGUUAGAAUAAAUCGACUUGAAAUGCCCUUCUCAAAGCUGUUUGUCCUAAGGUUCGAAGAGCGGAGUUGCAAG